This 471-nucleotide ribosomal RNA is filed under the name uncultured Anoxybacillus sp. RNAcentral describes it as "bacterial SSU rRNA". It matches the Rfam family "Bacterial small subunit ribosomal RNA", at positions 916 to 1381 of the family's 1533-position model. Lineage: Bacteria; Bacillati; Bacillota; Bacilli; Caryophanales; Anoxybacillaceae. The record is from RNAcentral.
ACGGGGCCCGCACAAGCGGUGGAGCAUGUGGUUAAUUCGAAGCAACGCGAAGAACCUUACCAGGUCUUGACAUCCCUGACAACCCGAGAGAUCGGGCGGUUCCCCCUUCGGGGGGACAGGGUGACAGGUGGUGCAUGGUUGUCGUCAGCUCGUGUCGUGAGAUGUUGGGUUAAGUCCCGUAACGAGCGCAACCCUCGACCUUAGUUGCCAGCAUUCAGUUGGGCACUCUAAGGUGACUGCCGGCUAAAAGUCGGAGGAAGGUGGGGAUGACGUCAAAUCAUCAUGCCCCUUAUGACCUGGGCUACACACGUGCUACAAUGGGCGGUACAAAGGGUCGCGAACCCGCGAGGGGGAGCCAAUCCCAAAAAAGCCGCUCUCAGUUCGGAUUGCAGGCUGCAACUCACCUGCAUGAAGCCGGAAUCGCUAGUAAUCGCGGAUCAGCAUGCCGCGGUGAAUACGUUCCCGGGCCUU